UAAAAUCUUAGUGGCGGACGGGUGAGUAACGCGUGGGUAACCUGCCUUACACUGGGGGAUAACACUUAGAAAUAGGCGCUAAUACCGCAUAAGCGCACGAAGCCGCAUGGAUUUGUGUGAAAAACUCCGGUGGUGUAAGAUGGACCCGCGUCUGAUUAGCUUGUUGGCGGGGUAACGGCCCACCAAGGCGACGAUCAGUAGCCGGCCUGAGAGGGUGGACGGCCACAUUGGGACUGAGACACGGCCCAAACUCCUACGGAAGGCAGCAG
This 269-nucleotide ribosomal RNA is filed under the name uncultured bacterium. RNAcentral describes it as "partial 16S ribosomal RNA". It matches the Rfam family "Bacterial small subunit ribosomal RNA", at positions 85 to 354 of the family's 1533-position model. The record is from RNAcentral.